This 217-nucleotide long non-coding RNA is filed under the name Elaeis guineensis (African oil palm). RNAcentral describes it as "long non-coding RNA (EGUI_LNC072636)". Lineage: Eukaryota; Viridiplantae; Streptophyta; Magnoliopsida; Arecales; Arecaceae. The record is from RNAcentral.
AGAUAGAGUUACCAGCUUAGAGAAGAACAUAUCUGGAGGUCCUUAUUUAUAGACGGAGGGCGUAACUGACUGACAGCAAUGUCUGUAACCAUUUGAUAGUGGACCGCUCAGAGCCGCAUGGAGUUUGUUACGGAGAGUAGUGGCAUCAGGGGUCGUUCAGGGCCACGUGGAGCUUGUUACAGAGAGUGGAGUGGUGUCUGUUGUCGGGACUUGCCAG